RNAcentral lists this ribosomal RNA (864 nucleotides) under Phellinopsis asetosa. RNAcentral describes it as "LSU rRNA". It matches the Rfam family "Eukaryotic large subunit ribosomal RNA", at positions 66 to 915 of the family's 3401-position model. Lineage: Eukaryota; Fungi; Basidiomycota; Agaricomycetes; Hymenochaetales; Hymenochaetaceae. The record is from RNAcentral.
UAACAGGAUUCCCCUAGUAACUGCGAGUGAAGCGGGAAGAGCUCAAAUUUAAAAUCUGGCGGUCUUCCGGCCGUCCGAGUUGUAGUCUGGAGAAGUGUUUUCCGCGUCGGACCGUGUACAAGUCUCCUGGAACGGAGUGUCAGAGAGGGUGAGAAUCCCGUCCAUGACACGGACUCCCGAUGCUAUGUGAUACGCUUUCAAAGAGUCGAGUUGUUUGGGAAUGCAGCUCAAAAUGGGUGGUAAAUUCCAUCUAAAGCUAAAUAUUGGCGAGAGACCGAUAGCGAACAAGUACCGUGAGGGAAAGAUGAAAAGCACUUUGGAAAGAGAGUUAAACAGUACGUGAAAUUGUUGAAAGGGAAACGCUUGAAGUCAGUCGCGUCCCUCGGAACUCAGCCUUGCUUUGGCUUGGUGUACUUUCCGUGUGGAUGGGUCAACGUCAGUUUCUGCCGGUGGAGAAAGGGAAGGGGAAUGUGGCGCCGCCUCGGUGGCGUGUUAUAGCCCUUUUCCUGAUGCAUUGGUGGGGACUGAGGACCGCAGCGCGCCUUUUUGGCCGGGGGUUCGCCCCACGUAUCGCGCUUAGGAUGUUGGCAUAAUGGCUUUAAGCGACCCGUCUUGAAACACGGACCAAGGAGUCUAACAUGCUUGCGAGUGUUCGGGUGGAAAACCCUUGCGCGUAAUGAAAGUGAAAGUUGGGAACCUCGGUGCACCGACGCCCGGCCCUGACGUUUUCUGAAGGUGCUGCGGUAGAGCAAGUAUGCUGGGACCCGAAAGAUGGUGAACUAUGCCUGAAUAGGGCGAAGCCAGAGGAAACUCUGGUGGAGGCUCGUAGCGAUUCUGACGUGCAAAUCGAUCGUCAAAUUUGGG